GUGGGGAAUUUUGGACAAUGGACGCAAGUCUGAUCCAGCCAUGCCACGUGAAGGAUUAAGGUCCUCUGGAUUGUAAACUUCUUUUAUAAGGGACGAAAAAAGGCUUUUCUAAGUCGUCUGACGGUACCUUAUGAAUAAGCACCGGCUAACUCCGUGCCAGCAGCCGCGGUAAUACGGAGGGUGCAAGCGUUAUCCGGAUUCACUGGGUUUAAAGGGUGCGUAGGCGGGCAGGUAAGUCAGUGGUGAAAUCCUAGAGCUUAACUCUAGAACUGCCAUUGAUACUAUCUGUCUUGAAUAUUGUGGAGGUAAGCGGAAUAUGUCAUGUAGCGGUGAAAUGCUUAGAUAUGACAUAGAACACCUAUUGCGAAGGCAGCUUACUACGCAUAUAUUGACGCUGAGGCACGAAAGCGUGGGGAUCAAACAGGAUUAGAAACCCGAGUAGUCC
RNAcentral lists this ribosomal RNA (445 nucleotides) under uncultured bacterium. RNAcentral describes it as "partial 16S ribosomal RNA". It matches the Rfam family "Bacterial small subunit ribosomal RNA", at positions 354 to 796 of the family's 1533-position model. The record is from RNAcentral.